This is a long non-coding RNA of Dioscorea cayenensis subsp. rotundata (Guinea yam), 4784 nucleotides long. RefSeq lists it as uncharacterized. The record is from RefSeq and is a predicted model, not a curated record. The transcript is spliced from 9 exons. Lineage: Eukaryota; Viridiplantae; Streptophyta; Magnoliopsida; Dioscoreales; Dioscoreaceae.
CGACUGGCUUCUCGAUUCCAUCAGCGGCGCCCGCUUUUCUCCAUCUCGCCGGCUUGUGACGACGAGAACGAAGAAGAAGAGCUGGUUAAUUGUGUCUGUUUCUACUGUACCGCAACUCUUCUCGAUGCCCUUCUCGAUUCCAUCAGCGGCACCCGCUUCUCUCCUUCUCGACGGCUCGUGACGACGAGAACGAAGAAGAAGAGAGUGUGCAGUUUAGUGGAUGAUGUCUUUGUUUGUGGUUUUGGAUGGGGUUCUCAUGUUCUCCUCCACACACUACUCCCCUUAGCAACAAAGAAGGUGGAGAAGGAUGAAUGCACAGGCACAUAUGUGUGGCCAUAUCUCCGGGCAGGUGCCUAAUCAAGCAAGUCAGCAAUUUUCUGGUCUGCCCCAACAAAUGAGCAGUUCGCUACCUUCUCAGAUACAAAAUUUUGGUGGACAUAGCAUGGAUCCUGAACUCUAUGCAAGACGCCGGGAUGUGCAAGAAUACAUAAGAGGAGUAAUAGCGCGCCUGGAGAGUUUGCGCCAAAAUUGUUAGAAAUCGCAAAAAGGUUGGAGGAGUAUAUAUACAGCGAUGCUGCUUCAAAGGAAGAUUACAUUAACAUGAAUGGGCCUACAAUAGAUCAACACUUGCAAAGUCUAGUAAAGAUGACAACUUACAACAGCCAGCUCAAUUCUCACCAUUUUCUUUCAUCCUUUGCUGUUGGCACAAUGAUUCCAACACCUGGUAUGGCCCAGAAUAGUAGCACAAAUUCCAUGGUUGGUCCGGCAGAAAAUGUCAGGAAUGCCAGCAAUGCUGCUGCUAUGGUGGUGCAAACUACAAGCAACACAGGGAACUUGCUACCAAUUGCAAAUGGAUUAGGUGGUGUUGGAAAUGCCACCAGCUUCAAUAUGUCUGACGGCAAAGCUUAUAUAUCCACAUAUUGCAUGUUGGUGAACUCACCAUGUCUUUAGCAUGCAAUAAGAUGAUUUUCAUAUGCAGGACAAGUUCCUAAUGGAUAUCGAAAGAUGACAUCAAAUGCUUCACUUGGCUCUGGAGUAACCAAUACCAUGUCCUCCGUUGCAUGACAACCACCAAGUCAAUUGAUCCCAACCCCUGGGUUGAAUAAUUUUAAGCCAACUGCUGUAAAUCCAGAUUUUUCUAAUGCAGGUGGGCUCUUGGUCAAUGAAUCUAGUAUGGUUUCGCAGCAACUUCAACAUAAACACUACGGUGGGACUCAAGCAAGCCAUAUCUUUCAUAGUCCUGGAGCCCAGAUGGGUGGCAGGAUGAGACCAAGUAUGCCAAAACCUUCACCCUAUGGAUUUUCAAAUGGUCGUAUGGCUGGCGGUUUAGGAUUUACCAGAGCUAAGCAACUUGUGAAUGGACCUGCGGCAUCAGAGGGAUACUUUAGUACUGUGUCUUAUGGUAGUUCUCCAAAACCUUUACAGGAGCACUUUGAUCAGCAACAUCACCAACCAAUUCUACCAGGAGCUACGGCCGCCGCCUCUUCUUUCUCCUUCCUUCUCUCUCGCUUGCUCACUGCUGCCUCUUCUGCUCGAGAAAGGCAUAACACUGCCUCAUCUUCAAACAAGCAUCGCCUCCAAGACAAGGAAGGGCUCGUGAAAUCACAUUAGCUUCAAGAUUUGAAUAUCGGAUUGGCCCGAUCUUGAAGAGAUUACGCCUGCAAGAGCAAUCAGUCAAUCUCCGAUGUUAAGGGAUUGAACUAGUUUGCAAAACUUUGCAUUGACAAGAUGAGGAACCAUAUUUCGGAUUGGUCUCGCAACUUGACAAGGAUAAGAGAUCAUGAGAGUGCGCCCUUGGGAGCUACAUCGGGGACUUAUGGGCGGCGCAAUUGGAGAAAGUGCUCGGGAGUUGUUAAGAGACGCAACUCUGAUGAGGGCUUUCUGGAAGAUAGUGCCUUCCUUCGAUAUCUUUAACCAAUUUUAGCUUGCUUAAUUUUGACCUAUUAUCUGGUUGUCUAUGUUGCUCCAUAUCUUUGUUAAUCUGGGUUGUUGGAUCCAUUAAUCAAAUAAAAUAAAAUAGAUUAUAUCCUAUGAUGAGAUCCAAUCAAGAAUUUCAUUAUAUCCCUCUUCCUUCUAAAAUCAUUAUUGUAUGGUAUUUUAUAGGAUAUCUGAUACAGAUACAGAAAACUAAUAAAGGAUACCAUCGAAUGACUAAAUAUCGAAAUGGAUCCUAUUUGAAUUCUUUUUUUUAUUUGUUUUGUAAUAAAGUAAGUAGAUCUAUUUAUACAUUCAGAUAGAAAUACAUUAAAUCUUUCUUUAUUAACUGAGUAAUAUUUGAAUAACAAAUCAAAGAUUUAGGGGUUUGUUUUCUAUGGAUUAUUUUGUGAUUUUGAUAAUUGUGUUUGUUUGUUUUCUAAGGAUGAGUAAAACUAGACUAAUGCUGGUGAAAAAGGGUAUUAGAUUUGUGUGAAGUGAUAUAUGACUCAUAGGUCAUGUUCAGAUGUCAAUGAUUAAUUGUAUUGUUUGUUAUGAGAAAUAAUAUGUGUGCUUGAAUUCAUUAGUGGUAUUUUGUGGUCAGGCCAUCCAUACCAUCUUUUUGGUGCUUUGUUUGAGGUCUUCUGUUGAAAGUUUUCAUAGUUUUUUUUAUUGAGUAAACUGCCAUAUAGUUGUUCAUCAAGUAAUGUUUCCUCCUUCAAAGUUCUUUCGUAUAUGAUCAAUCUCAUACAAAUCGCAACAAAUAGAAAGUUGAUAGAGAAUACUGCUCAAUUAGCACGGAUGCCCCAAGUGCAUUAGCAAUUGGAAAAACCAUAUUGAGGCAUGAUGCAGAGCAUCUCGGCAUUAUACAGGAAUAGUCAUUAAUAUGGUGAUUUGACUAUGAACAUGACAAAUAUGGAAAUAUUGGAUAGUUGUAUCACCAUUAUAUUAUCCCAAUAUUGGGAUAACCAUAUUGGGAUAAUCAUAUUGGCAAUAUGGUGACUAUUGGCAUAUGGUCCAUAGCAUAUUGGGAUAACCAUUAUAUUGAGACCAUAUUGUGCCAUAUUAGCAUAAUAUGGAUAAUCAUAUGGGUCAUAGUCACCAAUAUGGUGCCAAUAUACACCUAUAGCGCCAUAUGGAUAAUGUAAUAUGAUGCCAAUAUAUUAUUCGUUAUGACAUAACAUAUUAGCUAUGGAUCAUGCAUUAGUAUUAAUGACUAUGAAUAAUGGAAUAUUGUGCCAAUAUAUUAUUAGUUAUGCAAUGGCAUAUUAGCUGUGGAUCAUAUCCUAAUAUUGGUCACCAUAUUAGGAUAGCAUGUUAGUAUAUGAUAAUAUGGACCAUAUGCAUAUUAUCCUAAUAUACAUGCAUGUUAUGGCACCAUAUGCUAGUAGCAUAUAUGCACCACGGAGUAUGUUAGCCUUUGGUCCAUAUGGACCAUAUUAGCACCAUAUAUAUUGUCAUCAUAUGCCGCCGUAUAUUAGUAUAUUAGCACCUUAUAUAAGUAUAUGAUGAUAAUAUGGUCCUAUAGUGCCUUAUGUACGGACCAUAUACUAGUAGGUGCAAUACCUACUAAUAUGGUCCAAUACGACUAUGCACUGUAUGGUCCAUAAUAUGGUAUAUGCUAUAAUAUAUGGUGUCAUACUGUAUGUUGGGAUGACCAUAUGGUACCAUAUGAUGAUGCUAACAUGGACCAUAUUAUUAGUCAUAGCAAUAUUAUAACAAUAUGGUGCCAAUAUUUAAUGUGGUCCUUAAGAUGGGACCAAUAUUGGAUAUAUGGUCCUAUAUUGAUGACUAUAAUAUGGCGACCAUAUUAGCUAUAAUAUGUACCUAGUAUCUAUUUGUGCCUAGAUAUUUGCAUAAUAUUGGCACCAUUAUAUUAUCACCAUAUUGGCAUAUUAUUUAGGGACCAUUGGUGCCAAUAUGGUCCAUAUUAGCUAUUCAUAACUAUGGCAUAGCACCAUGUUAUGAUAAUAUGUUGCCAAUAUAUAUUACACUAGAAUAUUGGUACCAUAAUAAUUCCAUAUGAGUACCAUAUUGGAUAAUAUAUGGUCAUUUAUUCCAACAUAUGUGGGUAGUAAUGGUGUCUCUUCUAUAAGUAAUGUAUCUCUUAUAUGAUGCCAAUAUAGUGCUUCCUAUUGGGGGCUUUUUGGGGUAUCCCUGGUCAUCUAAAACACAAAUUCAUGGGAAGGAAUUUCACUAAUUGAGAUAGAAUAAAUAACGAAUAGUCCAAUGGUUAUGACAAUUCCAAGAGUAAUAGAUAAUUUUGAAAAUGCAUUAGGAAGACAAUUCUUAGGGAGAACUUGGAGUCAAAAUAAAGACCAAAAAAGAAAAAAAAGAAAAAACAAAGAUGUGUAUCUAUUAAUAAACUUAACAUUAUGUCACAUGUGCAAACUAUAGAAGAAUAUAUCAGUACAUUUCAAAAUUAUUAUUAUCAAUUUUAUUUAGGAAGAGAUUCUAAUAAAUUAGUAUAUUUGAAUAUGUUUUAUAACAAAUACCCAACCAUGGGGAAUAAAAUUACUUAAUGAAUACCCUAUAUAUUGAAGAUAGUUCGAUACAUUAGGAGGUAGAAUACAAUUUCUAUGAAGAAGACUUGAAGAAUGGCAUCGAGAAUCAAGGAUAAUUAAGAAAACAACAAAAUCCAUCAAAGGAAAGAUUAUGUUGCGAAGAAAUAAUAAGACAAAAUAAUAUUGGAUACCCUUAGUAUACAAAAAUAGCCCAAUAAAUAAGAAAUAUAAAAUAAAAAGGCAAUUAAAAAAAUCUAAAAAUGAUAAUAUUAAGAAAACAUACUAUGAAAGAAGAUAUCAACUAAGAAAAAGGAGAUGUUUUCUAUGUCAACGAAAAGGUCAUUAUGCAGAUAAGAUGUUUGCCAA